UCAUUCAAGUUCGUCAACCCAACAACAAACAAGAGAAAACUGUCAAUCCAUGGUGAUCGCUUAUUUAUCGUGAAAGAUCUGGCAACCCCGCACCAGCGAUGCUGCUGACAGAGAUAUAUCUCUGAUGCUGAGCAGCAGCACUGUCACCUGUACUUCCUUCACGAGAGACCGCAUCCACUAACUGCCUGGACAGUCUAAUUUGGACAAUAAGUGAGUGACAUUAAGAUGAAGAGAAGAAACGAUAUUGAGAGCUUCUUUAUCAAGAAAAAAAAGAGUCAGUCAGCUACAGCCAGUACCAGCACCAGUGCAGAUGCCCACACAAGCCAGCAGCCUAGGGAUAGUGUUGAUGAGCAGUCCACUACCCCAAUACAAGAUGUUGACCAGCCACAUUUGGAGGAGGAGGAGACGGACUGUGAAUCUGUGUUGUCUGGAUCUCCACCUACUGAGCAUGGUAUGUCAGGUUCAGAUGUCAUUCAUGAAGUUGGUGUCUACUCUCUCAUACUUCAGUUAUUUAAAAAUGGCCAAUUAUGCAUAUGUAUAUGUGAAUGCAUAGCAUUUAACCAGAUUACACUGCACUUUCAAUUAAAAGCCUGGCACAUUAAAAUAACUUAAUGAGGAUAUGUGUGUGCAUUUAUCUUUAAUUUCUGUGAAUACGUACAUAGAAAA
Engraulis encrasicolus (European anchovy) is the source of this 666-nucleotide long non-coding RNA. RefSeq lists it as uncharacterized. The transcript is spliced from 3 exons. The record is from RefSeq and is a predicted model, not a curated record. NCBI's taxonomy places the organism in Eukaryota, Metazoa, Chordata, Actinopteri, Clupeiformes, Engraulidae.